Molecule: ribosomal RNA, 289 nt
Filed under: uncultured bacterium
Lineage: Bacteria
Description: partial 16S ribosomal RNA
Rfam family: Bacterial small subunit ribosomal RNA
Source: RNAcentral
GUGGAUUAGAUACCCGGGUAGUCCACACCGUAAACGUUGGGCGCUAGGUGUGGGACUCAUUCCACGAGUUCCGUGCCGCAGCUAACGCAUUAAGCGCCCCGCCUGGGGAGUACGGCCGCAAGGCUAAAACUCAAAGGAAUUGACGGGGGCCCGCACAAGCGGCGGAGCAUGCGGAUUAAUUCGAUGCAACGCGAAGAACCUUACCUGGGUUUGACAUAUACGAGAAGCCUCUAGAGAUAGAGGUCUCUUUGGACACUCGUAUACAGGUGGUGCACGGCUGUCGACAGCU